GCCUGAAGAAAAAGAAAAGGGAUCGCCAUAAGAAGUGCCCAAGAGGACAGCAAGACCAAUGAAGAGUGAAGGAGUCUGUCAGAGGAGAGUGACCAGCUCAGCUCAGGAGGAGGGGAACAUGGUGUUGAGAAUUUACAUGAAUCCUGGACUUCCAUCAAGGGAUCAUCAAUGUAGGGCCCACCCCGUGGAUCCCGAGGCUGUGAAGAUAAAUCUCACCAAUCAGCUGCAAGUGGUGGUGUCUCCACCGUAGCCUGUGUGGUAAUGCUGACUGCAACAAAGCAGCUGACGUGCAGCUGAGAAAUCCCUGUGCUGAAUAAGCUACCUUUGAGGAUUUGUUUGUACACGUGCACAAAGCAAUGUGUAUGUAGACUACUAAAAUGUGACUCACAGAGGAAAAAGAGCCAUGAAGAAACCUCUGAGCACCAACAUGAUGCCCAGAGGUAAAGUUCCAUACCUGGCAAACCCAUGUUCACCGGUGACUGCCAGUUGUGACUGCUUACUUAAUGUUUCUGAUUGCUUUAUGGCGUUUUCAAGCACAUAUUGAAUGCCUACUAUAUACACUUCUUCCAGGCUGAUGUGCCUUUGAAAAUGAGUUCCAGUCUACAGGAGGUAGGUGAAUGUCUGUUUGAUUCCUCGUUCCUGCAGCGUCAUCGUCCCCACUCCU
Mus musculus (house mouse) is the source of this 664-nucleotide long non-coding RNA. RefSeq annotates it as predicted gene, 51759. The record is from RefSeq and is a predicted model, not a curated record. NCBI's taxonomy places the organism in Eukaryota, Metazoa, Chordata, Mammalia, Rodentia, Muridae. The transcript is spliced from 3 exons.